AUCUCUAAACUCUAAGUUUGGUAUAGUAUAGGUUAAUUCACUUUAAUAAUAAAACUAACGACACACAGACUGCCUUAAACCGAACGAAAAUUUACCAUGUCGCGUUUACGCAAGACGAAGACGGAGAUGCGGGCGUGGCGUUUCCUUCAGAGGUCGCGAUACCCGCAUUUACAGUCCUAAACAAUGGGUAACAUUUAUUAUU
This is a non-coding RNA of Cinara cedri, 202 nucleotides long. Lineage: Eukaryota; Metazoa; Arthropoda; Insecta; Hemiptera; Aphididae. The record is from the annotation of a GenBank genome assembly.